This 249-nucleotide ribosomal RNA is filed under the name uncultured Burkholderiales bacterium. Its description in RNAcentral is "partial 16S ribosomal RNA". It matches the Rfam family "Bacterial small subunit ribosomal RNA", at positions 355 to 596 of the family's 1533-position model. The record is from RNAcentral. Lineage: Bacteria; Pseudomonadati; Pseudomonadota; Betaproteobacteria; Burkholderiales.
UGGGGAAUUUUGGACAAUGGGCGAAAGCCUGAUCCAGCAAUGCCGCGUGUGUGAAGAAGGCCUUCGGGUUGUAAAGCACUUUUGUCCGGAAAGAAAUGGCUCUGGUUAAUACCUGGGGUCGAUGACGGUACCGGAAGAAUAAGGACCGGCUAACUACGUGCCAGCAGCCGCGGUAAUACGUAGGGGCCAAGCGUUAAUCGGAAUUACUGGGCGUAAAGCGUGCGCAGGCGGGUUGGCAAGACCGAGGUG